GAAGCUGGGACAGCAGAAGGAAGGGUGAGGAGUUGGGGUGGUAGGUGAGAUGGAAUGAGGACACCGAGUUCUGCAGACUGCUUCUUGCUGACGUGAGGACAUUGGUCAUCUUUGGCGCACCUGAGAAUGCUGGGGUGCUGGCCACAUCCUGGCGUAGCUGGUUGUUUCACUGAUGUCUAGGCUCUUUGGAACCGGCUGGCACUGCUUGGAUCUGGUGAGUUGCUACCAGGCAGAAGAUAAAGUUAAGCUUAGGGGGGAAAUUUUUUUUUUUUAGGUUCUGGUAGUUGAUGGAGGGGAUUCCCAAGGUUAAGGAAAUAUGGGGUGGCUUAGGCUGUUAAUUGAUAGUACUUAACUGAGUACUGCAUCUGACCAGUUGACUCCAGGAGCUCCCAAGACUUCUUUGAGUUUGUGUGAAGGUAAGUUUUAGACACAUUAGCAUUUCCACUGUUUAUAAUCUGUACUGACAUUUACGUUGUAGAAACUCGAGUCUUUGAGUCACAGGGGAUCCAGAAAAGAUUUCGGUUGAAAGCGUUAACAUUCUCUUUCUAUCUUGAGCUAUUUCAGACUACACAGCUCUUGUCUGUGUGCCCCUUCCCUUCCCUCCGGCUCCUUCUCUCUCUCACUUAUUUCUCUCCCUGGGUGGCUAUGGCUCCCCCUCCCCUUCCUUGCCAUGCUCCCAGUCUUCGCCCUUGCUCAGGUGUGGCUGCAUUUCUGCUGGGCUACUCCUGGCCGGGCUCCAGAGAGCAGCACCUAGCCCAUCCCAUCCUUUGUUUAACCGGCACUUUUUGUUUCUCUUAUCGCCCUAUGUGAAUCUUGUCGGAGAGUCUCCUAAGGAUACAAAUCCCUAUGCAGAACUUGGUUCAGGAAACCUGGAAAACCGUGGCACCUGAGAAAUCAAGGAAUUUGCACUUGGCAUUUUUAUCUUGGCGAGCUCCUUUCAAGUUGCUUUGAAGGCCAAAAGAGGGCACCAGAUCUCCUUACAGGUGGUUGUGAG
Peromyscus leucopus (white-footed mouse) is the source of this 994-nucleotide long non-coding RNA. RefSeq lists it as uncharacterized. Lineage: Eukaryota; Metazoa; Chordata; Mammalia; Rodentia; Cricetidae. The record is from RefSeq and is a predicted model, not a curated record. The transcript is spliced from 3 exons.